UGGUUUACUUCACUGAGCAUAAUACUCACCAGCUCCAUCCAUGCUGUUCCAAAAGAUAAGAUUUCCUUUUUGGGUGUGCGGUGCCUAGGACUUCCUGCACUAUAUGGAGUACAUAUCAUGACCACAGACAUCGCUGACUUGCUCCUGAUCUGAAGAAAAAUGCUUUUGCCUUUUGUCCAUGGAGUAUGAUGUUGUCGAAAUAAAGAAACACUUGAGCUGAAUAGAUCAGUUGAUU
This is a long non-coding RNA of Eptesicus fuscus (big brown bat), 235 nucleotides long. RefSeq lists it as uncharacterized. The transcript is spliced from 3 exons. The record is from RefSeq and is a predicted model, not a curated record. NCBI's taxonomy places the organism in Eukaryota, Metazoa, Chordata, Mammalia, Chiroptera, Vespertilionidae.